GACGAACCGUCCAAACGUUAUUCGGAAUUAUUGGGCUUAAAGGGUGCGUAGGCGGCGCGGAAAGUUGGAUGUGAAAGCCCUCGGCUCAACCGAGGAAUUGCGUUCAAUACUACCGUGCUCGAGGGAGACAGAGGUGAGCGGAACUACGGGUGGAGCGGUGAAAUGCGUAGAUAUCCGUAGGAACACCGGUGGCGAAAGCGGCUCACUGGGUCUCUUCUGACGCUGAGGCACGAAAGCAUGGGGAGCGAACAGG
This 253-nucleotide unclassified non-coding RNA is filed under the name uncultured Pirellulaceae bacterium. RNAcentral describes it as "contains 16S-23S intergenic spacer region". It matches the Rfam family "Bacterial small subunit ribosomal RNA", at positions 524 to 776 of the family's 1533-position model. Lineage: Bacteria; Pseudomonadati; Planctomycetota; Planctomycetia; Pirellulales; Pirellulaceae. The record is from RNAcentral.